AAAUCGGUCCUUUUCAGGACUACAAACAUUAUUUGUUGUUUAAUU
This is a non-coding RNA of Dendroctonus ponderosae (mountain pine beetle), 45 nucleotides long. The record is from Rfam. NCBI's taxonomy places the organism in Eukaryota, Metazoa, Arthropoda, Insecta, Coleoptera, Curculionidae.